Molecule: ribosomal RNA, 1461 nt
Filed under: Candidatus Dadabacteria bacterium
Lineage: Bacteria; Pseudomonadati; Thermodesulfobacteriota; Candidatus Dadabacteria
Description: bacterial SSU rRNA
Rfam family: Bacterial small subunit ribosomal RNA
Source: RNAcentral
AUGAAGAGUUUGAUCCUGGCUCAAGUAAACUUUGGGCGGCCCCCUAACACAUGCAAGUCGAGCGAAGUAGUUUACUACUUAGCGGCAAAGGGGGGUGAUAAACUUGGAUAACCUCCCUUUAAAGGUCUGGGACAACUAGGGGAAACGAGCAAUCCGGGAUAUGACCACAUUUACAAAGGUAAGAGUGGAAAAAGAUUUAUCGCCUUUAGAUGGGCCCAAGUCGCAUCAGGUUGUUGGUGGGGUAAUGGCCUCCAAACCAUGACGCGUAGCAGGUCUUAGCGGAUGAUCUGCCCAUGGGGACUGAGAUACGGGCCCCGACCCCACGGGGGGGCAGCAGUGAGGGUAUUGGGCAAUGGGCAAGUCUGACCCAGCGAUGCCCGCGUGAAGGAUGAAGGCCGGGUUGUAAACCUGUCAGCAGGGAAGAUAAUGACGGUACCUGCAGAGGAAGCCCGGGUAACUCCGUGCCAGCAGCCCGGGGGAAAACGGAGGGGGGAAGCUUCUAACUGGGCGAAAAGGGGCCGUAGGCGUUCUUUAAGUUAGAUGUGGCUUGAAACAAAUUUAAAAUUGCAUUAAAACUGGAGAACUAGGUUCUUUGGGGAGGGGUUUAUGGAAUUACCGGUGUAGCGGUGAAAUCGUAGAUAUCGGUAGGAACACCAGUGGCGAAAGCGAUCAAAUGGCCCAAAUAAACGGGGUGAGGGGCAGCGUGGGUAGAAACAGGAUUAGAUACCCUGGUAGUCCAGCCAAACGAUGAAAACUAGAUGUAGGGUUUAAUUCUGUAUCUAGCUAAGCAUUAAGUAUUCCGCCUGGGAGUACGGUCGCAAGGCGAAACUCAAAAAUUUGGGGGGGCUCGCACAAGCGGUGGAGCAUUUGGGUUUUAAAUUUGAUGCGCGAAGAACCUUUCCCGGGGUUGACAUGUAAGCAUAACCGUGGCGUGGGUAAUUUGGGCUUAAAUUGGUUUAAAAGGUGCUGCAUGGCUGUCGUCAGCUCGUGCCGUGAGGUGUCCGGUUAAGUCCGGUAACGAGCGCAACCCCUAUUAUCAGUUGCCAUCACUUCGGGUGGGCACUCUGGUGAAACUGCUGGUUUGAAACUAGAGGAAGGAGGGGACGACGUCAAGUCAUCAUGGCCCUUAUGUCCUGGGCUACACACAUGCUACAAUGGCAGAUACAACGGGUUGCGAACUCGCGAGGGGGAGCUAAUCUCAUCAAAGUCUGUCUCAGUUCGGAUUGCAGGCUGCAACUCGCCUGCAUGAAGUUGGAAUCGCUAGUAAUCGCGGAUCAGCUAUGCCGCGGUGAAUACGUUCCCGGGUCUUGCACACACCGCCCGUCACACCACGAAAGUCGGUCUUACCCGAAGCAGCUGGGCUAACCCUUUUGGGAGGCAGGUUUCUAAGGUAAGGUUGGUGAUUGGGGUGAAGUCGUAACAAGGUAGCCGUACCGGAAGGUGCGGCUGGAUCACCUCCUU